UACGAAGGGGGCUAGCGUUGUUCGGAUUUACUGGGCGUAAAGCGCACGUAGGCGGAUCGAUCAGUCAGGGGUGAAAUCCCAGAGCUCAACUCUGGAACUGCCUUUGAUACUGUCGAUCUGGAGUAUGGAAGAGGUGAGUGGAAUUCCGAGUGUAGAGGUGAAAUUCGUAGAUAUUCGGAGGAACACCAGUGGCGAAGGCGGCUCACUGGUCCAUUACUGACGCUGAGGUGCGAAAGCGUGGGGAGCAAAUAGG
Molecule: ribosomal RNA, 253 nt
Filed under: uncultured bacterium
Lineage: Bacteria
Description: partial 16S ribosomal RNA
Rfam family: Bacterial small subunit ribosomal RNA
Source: RNAcentral